Molecule: ribosomal RNA, 109 nt
Filed under: Nannospalax galili (Upper Galilee mountains blind mole rat)
Lineage: Eukaryota; Metazoa; Chordata; Mammalia; Rodentia; Spalacidae
Source: RNAcentral
GUCUAUGACCAUACCACCCUGAAUGCUCCCAAUAUUGGAAGUUAAGCAGGGUUGGGCCUGGUUAGUACUUGGGUGGGAGACCGCCUGAGAUUACUGAGUACUGUAUGUU